RNAcentral lists this long non-coding RNA (317 nucleotides) under Helianthus annuus (common sunflower). Its description in RNAcentral is "hypothetical non coding rna". Lineage: Eukaryota; Viridiplantae; Streptophyta; Magnoliopsida; Asterales; Asteraceae. The record is from RNAcentral.
UCUGGCUCUUUAAAACCCUAAUUCACUACAAUCAUCUCAAAAUCAAAGAGAGAAACCGAAAUUCAAUCGAUUCUAAGCUAAAUUCGUGAUCUUCAUACUUUGUAGAUCACAAGCUAUGUCUUAUGCAGCAAUUUGGGUGGGCCGUCUAGUAAUCAAGGAGGAUCGGACAACUGUUUGAAAGGAAAGCUUUAAAAGGUAACUUUAGGUAAUAGACGGAUGGCAAUCAAGCUAACGAACGAACCGAAUACACACAUAAUUAAAGCUUCCGCCACUAAAUCAACUUUUGUACUAAACUCUUUGAGUUUGUUUUGUCUAAA